This is a long non-coding RNA of Xenopus laevis (African clawed frog), 1583 nucleotides long. RefSeq lists it as uncharacterized. The record is from RefSeq and is a predicted model, not a curated record. NCBI's taxonomy places the organism in Eukaryota, Metazoa, Chordata, Amphibia, Anura, Pipidae. The transcript has 3 exons.
AUGUCUCAGCCAGGCACUCCCCUGUGUAACAAUGUGCCCCGCCCACAUCUUGCUCACAUGGCUGUGACUUCACUAUUCCCUUAAAGCGAUACACCGCGGCUUAAUAAAGAAAAGGCAAAAGGGAGCACGAGAUUGAUUGCUACACCAGCGGCUCGCCUGUCACCAGCCAACACUAACUGGUUGCCCCAAGGGGUGAGUUUUAUGGGACACACCACAAUAUUGCCAGGAUGCUGUCUGAUACUGCGGCAGCAAUGAGAGCUAAAACACCCAUAAACAACUGUAUCUUACAGGUCAGAAUAUUCUGUGUGGGUUUGCGAAUGCUUUGACCGGAGGAAUGAUCUGUAAAUCUGAAAUUUUAGGGUGCAAUCUCUAUUUUGACCUGCAGCGACUCCGAUGGAAAUACAAGAGAAGUCCAAAAAGUUGGAGUAGCCUCCGUCGAUAGAGAUGUGUCUGAAGAGAAAAGAACGAGUCCAAAGGAGGCCAUGAGAGGAGGGCUGGAGGAAAGAAGGAUGGAAAAGAAGGGAUUUUGAGGAUGAUGUCAUGUGGAAACUGUAUAUUUUGAGGAUGAUGUAAGAUGGAGACUGUAUAUUUUGAGGAUGAUGUCUGUUGGAGACUGUACAUUUUGAGGAUGAUGUCAGUUGGAGACUUUAUAUUUUGAAGAUGAUGUCAGAUGGAGACUGUAUAUUUUGAAGAUGAUGUCAGAUGGAGACUGUAUAUUUUGAAGAUGAUGUCAGAUGGAGACUGUAUAUUUUGAAGAUGAUGUCAGAUGGAGACUGUAUAUUUUGAGGAUGAUGACAUGUGGAAACUAUAUAUUUUGAGGAUGAUGUCAGAUGGAGACUGUAUAUUUUGAGGAUGAUGUCAGAUGGAGACUGUAUAUUUUGAGGACAAUGUCAGAUGGAGACUGUAUAUUUUGAAGAUGAUGUCAGAUGGAGACUGUAUAUUUUGAGGAUGAUGUCAUGUGGAAACUAUAUAUUUUGAGGAUGAUGUCAGAUGGAGACUGUAUAUUUUGAAGAUGAUGUCAGAUGGAGACUGUAUAUUUUGAAGAUGAUGUCAGAUGGAGACUGUAUAUUUUGAGGAUGAUGUCAUGUGGAAACUAUAUAUUUUGAGGAUGAUGUCAGAUGGAGACUGUAUAUUUUGAAGAUGAUGUCAGAUGGAGACUGUAUAUUUUGAGGAUGAUGUCAUGUGGAAACUAUAUAUUUUGAGGAUGAUGUCAGAUGGAGACUGUAUAUUUUGAGGAUGAUGUCAGAUGGAGACUGUAUAUUUUGAAGAUGAUGUCAGAUGGAGACUGUAUAUUUUGAGGAUGAUGUCAUGUGGAAACUAUAUAUUUUGAGGAUGAUGUCAGAUGGAGACUGUAUAUUUUGAGGAUGAUGUCAGAUGGAGACUGUAUAUUUUGAAGAUGAUGUCAGAUGGAGACUGUAUAUUUUGAGGAUGAUGUCAUGUGGAAACUAUAUAUUUUGAGGAUGAUGUCAGAUGGAGACUGUAUAUUUUGAGGAUGAUUUCAGAUGGAGACUGUAUAUUUUGAGGAUGAUGUCAGAUGGAGACUGUAUAUUUUGAGGAUGUGAGGAUGAUGUCAUAUGGGCACU